GAAAUUGUAAACUUGCAAGUGUCAAUUGAGCAUAUUGGAUCUAUUUACGUACCAAUGGAACUGCAGGAUAGAGUCUUAAUGUUUCUGUCAAAGCUGCAUGGAGAUAUUGCAUUUUGUUAAGGACUUCAUCAGUAAGGCUUGCUGCAAGCUCAUCAACUUUUGAGCCCUCUUUCAAAUUUGUUACUUCUCUAACUUCCUUUGCGAUCUUUUCUUGUAUGUGAAGAUGCUUGCACAUCAUAUAAAUAAACCAUGAGAGAGAGCUAGAUGUCGUGUCUUGUCCGGCGACAGUAACACAGAGGACUAUGUCUCUCAGGUACUUCGGAUCAGUAUCUUUCAGUUCCAAACACCUUGAAACCAAGUCUCUUUUCUUUAGCUGCCAUUGAUCCUCAAUACAUUAUUGAUGAUAAAAUACGAAGUUAAAUCAUCUAUAUGUAAAACAUGGAAGAUUAACUCACAGAUAGGUUAUGUUCUGGAUGUCGCAUAGCUUCAAUCUUGCUAUUGAUUAAUUUAUACACAAAUUGAUCAACCACUUUGAUGUUUUUCUUUAGCUCUGCUUCCUUACCGAUGUUUAAGAAGCGUUUGAUCUUCCACAACUUAUCAAAUAUCCGAUACAGGGCAGCUUCUUGCUGCGCUUCAAAAGCAUGGGAAAACAGGUUACCUUCUUCAUCUUUUCCACUCAUGCUGUCUAGUUCAAUACCAAGUACAAUCUUGAUGAUUGAGUCUAAGGUUGCUUUUCAUAAACAAAUCCUUCCAAAAAAAAAAAAAAACACAUACACACACAAGAUUAAUGAUAUAUCAAAUAGAUAUAACAACUUAAUUGAGACCAAAAUCCAAAACAUACUUGGAUUUCUAUUGCUUUGUUGCUGGUUGCAGCUUCAUAGAUUAUGCCAACAAGUUUAACUGCAUUGGUUUUGAAAACCGAAGUGCUGAAGUCUCUAACUACUUUUGUUGAAAAUUUCAGCACUCAUCAUCUUCCUCUGAUGCUGCCAUUUUGCCCAUCCACUCCGAAGAUCCCAUCACCACAACAUCUGACAAAAUGUUGUAUGUAUAUGACCCCUGCAGCAUGUUGCAUUGGAACUAUGACAUGAAUAAUGUCACAUAUGUAUGAAUUGAACUUCUACACAUUUAAGCAUUCCACAUCAUAUAUACCUUGCCAUAAUUAGUGAAGUUUGUUUUCAGCACAUAUUCCACAUUUGCAGGAUCUGCUGUGUAAAUAGCACCUUUGAAGAAGUCCAGCAGCCUGUAAGUGUUGUAUUUGAAUGCAAGCUCAGCCAUGUAAUGAUGCAGCCUAGGGAAGUAGAUGAGUUGGUGAAAGACAGUUCCGACAACAGGAUGGUAUCUCUUGUUCUUGUCACGCACCCUUCGGCCCCGGUGUCUUACCACAACAACAGCUAAAACUAACACUAAACUUAACACUAUAGCCGGGGAAGCAAAAUCCAUGACAGUGUUGAAGAAGAUUAUAGUAGCAGAGGAAGCUAGCUUUUCUGUUUCUGCCGACUUCCCUAUCCAACUAUAUAUCCAAGCUAGGUAUUUGCAUGGGAACUCAGCAGCAAUUGAACAAUAAUUGAGUAACAAUUCAAGCUAGGCUCCACUCCAAUAAUACAUUGAACUUGUUGGUGUGAUUGGAAAUGGCUGGCCAAAUCUCCGUUGCACAUUCCAUAUNNNNNNNNNNNNNNNNNNNNUUUCUUUUUUUGGGAGGGAUAGCAAACAUUACCGCCAAACUCAAUGUUACGUACAGCAGCAGAAAACAAAUCCAUGAAAACAAAAGGAGCACUCGUGACUUAAUUGUCUCUCUCAUUCGGUUUAGAUUGCAGGUCAAUAAUGUACGUUAUAUGGGUAUGGAGAUGAGCAAGGCUUGGCCGAAAGCACAACCGGUAACCAAUAUUGGCAAUCUACUUAACCAUGCAUUAAUUGGUGAUAGAUUACACACCCACUUUACUUUUCGUGCUCAACUAAAUCUGAUACGGUGUACUGUUCUUGUUUACAACCAAAUUAAUAUUUUAUUGGACAGUAAUUGUUUAGGUAAAUAUUAAUUAAAUUCAUGGUCCACGUCAUACCAACGAGCCUAAAAUAUUGGGUUUAUGGCCCGCCGGUGAGCUGGGUAGCAGAGUUCACAUGAAGUGUACUGACUUCGCGUAGAAGAUUGAGCGAGGCGAGAUGCCUUCGCGCGGGAAGACUUCGCCAGGAGAAGAGUUUACGUGUAUUAAGGUUUCUAUUCUUUAAAUCACAUGUAUGCAAGUGUAUGUACUCCCUAUGCGUGGCGAAGGAAAAUGCUUGCAGCUACAGUGAAGGCGAGAUGCAUGCGAAGAAUAAGGUUGCAUGCGAGAUGCUUGCAGGCGGAGAAAGAUGCUUGCAGGCGAAGAAUUAUAGACUUCGCAUAGAAGUGGAGGAGUCUUAAAUGUGGAGGCGAGAUGCGUGCGGAGAAAAGAUUAUUAAUGGCUACUCAUGCUGCCAUCACAAGAAGACCUAUAUGUCCUAUCUCACGUGCCAAUGUAAGUCAUUGUUUUGGCCACUUGGUCUACAGAGAAGAGUUCGCAUAGAGAUAGGAUUAAAGGACGUGUGAGCUGUGCCUUAGGUUUGGAUAAUUAUCUUUAUUUCCAUGAUUGCAUGCGAGAUGGUUCAUUAAGGAUCCUUAUCCUUAGUUAAACAUGAUUGCAUGGGGAGGGGUUCAUUAAGGAUCAUUAUCCUCAUUCAAGCAUAAUUGCAUGAGGAAGCUUACGUCCACAUCCGCGAAGGUGUUGUAGAGAGCAACUACUGUUCCUACAUUACAUCUAUGUUCAAGAGUUCGUGCCUUUGGAAUAGGGAUGACAAUAAUCCCCCAGCGGGUAGGGUACCCACGGGUAUUCGACCCUAACGGGGAAGAUAUACGGGUAUAAACGGGUAACGGGGAUGGGGAUCCUUAGUAUUCGGAUUCUUAAAUCGGGUACGGGGCGGGUAUGGUAUUUUGAUAUUCGUCCCCAUCCCCACCCAUUAAGGAUGAAAAUAUUAUUAUAUAUAAUUAUAUAAUUUAUUAUUAUAUAUAUUUAUAUAUAAUUUAUAAAUAAAUAUUUAUGUAAAAAAAUUUGUAAUUCUCUUAAUAAACAUUUAAUGGACCUUCCUUUUUAUUAUAUAUUUUUAUUCUCUUAAUGAAAUUUACCGGUAUUGUUAUGUUUUAACCAAGACUUGUAUUUAUUUUUAUUGGAUUGAAGUAUGAAACUUAUUUAUUUUGGUAUUUGAUUUUAAUUUCAUACUUUUAUAUAAUUGUAUUUCGUAAUUUAAAAAAAAAAAAUUUAAUUUAAUACAUAAUUGUUAACGGGUACGGGUACGGGUAUGGAAACGUAAUCCCCAAAGGGUACGGGUACGGGGAAUCUCCAUUAUCUAAUUACGGGUACGGGGAUGAAAAAUGUAAAAAGGUAUGGGUACGGUAUUUUGAUCCCCGUACCCUACCCUACCCAUUGCCAUCCCUACUUUGGAAACAUAAUUAGUCACGUCACCUACGAACUCAACGUUGAAGACUUCUACAAGUCUUUGACAUGUUUUGGGCCAAUACAUGUGGCCCUAAAUAGCUUUAUAUAAGAGAGUUCGAGGAUCUGGUUUAGCUCUACACAACAAACAAUACAACAACUCAACUUUACAAAAUACAAUACAAUUUUCGACCUAGUCGAACCUCAGACGCUCCCCGGAGCUUUCCUUUCGUUUCCCCGUACGCUCUCCGGAGCUUUCUCUUUUUUCCUCUCCUUCCCAAUUGAAGCUCUGCUCGAUCUUACGUCGAGUAUCGAUAUUGUGACGCUCAGGCGGACUACUGUAAGUCCUUGCCUAGUACGCAAGACGAAUCUGAAGAACUCUGCGGUGGAGUUGGUGCUUUCUCCAUCCUCAGUCGCUUGAUUAGAAGCGGAAGGCUAAGCGCACCCAGCUACUACAACCAUUACAUUCCGCAUCCGUGCGGUGGCACGCCUGCAACAACUAAAAGAGACUUUGCAUGCCCAAAAUUACUGGUGUGGCCAAAACAGUUCUAUUUGUUGAUCGGAUUUCAAGUGCUUUGUUUAGCGGAAAUUCUUCAAUGCAUCAAGAUCGAAGUGAACCAGUAAUUAAAAUGAAAUCUCAGCCGUUCAUUUGAUCAGCCCACUACAUGCGCACUAACUUCAAUAUUAACGUUAUUAACAAUAACCCAAAAAAAACAAAAAAAAAACGAAUUGAAACCAUAGUUAAUGUUAAGAACUGAAACCAAAGUAAAUAUUCGAUCGAGGAAGUGUUCAGACUUUAGCUCAAUCUCAUGAUUCUUGUGAAUUUUUUCGAAGAGGAGGAGAAUUUCGAGCUCGUAUUAAAUCACUUGUGUCCUAUGCUCGUCAAGAUGAUGUCGUUUUUGUCCGAUUAGAUUAUUCGACGAGAUGGAAUCGCCGAUCCUAUAUAUUUACAGAGCUCGGCGGCGAUGGAGAUGAGCCUUGGUUGCCAUGAUUCGAUCUGAAUCUAGUGGUGGACUGGUGGGUUUAGAGAAGAAAUGGAAGCGAGGUUUGUGAGACCCAGGAGAACUAGUUUCAUGAUUGAUAUAGUGAAGAUUCAAUCAUCAAAGUGGAAACCGGUGACAGUACAAAAAUGUGAAGAAGAAAAUUGAAAAAGGCGGUAUUGCUUUCCCAUAACCGAUUCAUGUGAAAUUUGAGAAGGGCAUAGUUGUCCCUUUCGAAAGGAAAGGCUAUUUUUGGUUGCCAACUACUUGGCAUUAAGAAUAGUUGAGAGAUGUAGAUGACUUGAGCUAAUUAAAGCAUAAGACUGAUCAUACUAGCUAGCUCACCACCUAAUUCCAUUUCAUCCAAACGAAUGCUAGCAUGCGACAGAUUGUGGUUGCUGCCGGAAUGCGACAUUUCAAUUCAUAAUCACCUAAGAAGCUAAUCUAGCUAGCUAGCUACUUGAAAUUUACUACUAAGCAUAUAUGAAGGACUUACGACUUACGAGUCAUCUUCUUUGAACUUCACAUGAAUUAUGAGCAUGGUAAUAGAGCAUCAAUUUUAGAACUAGCUAGGCAGCAAAACUGCGCGAUGUUGCAGGUAUAUCAUUGAUGUAUCUGGCAAUUAUGAUAGAGGCAAAAAAGUAAAUCAAUACAAUAUGAGAAGUAAUGUAGAGAAUAGAGAAUUGAGGUAAUUAGAUACCCUAAAACGAUAGAGGAUUACCACUGUACAUUCAACUGGUAAAAACACUGUAUUGCCCCCGGUUUGCAAACAAUUGCAACAAGGCCAUUGAUGAAUAAGUAUGGACACCUGUGGGCAUGUGCUGCUGAUACGUGUCUGGGUCAUUGACGUGUCGUCAGUGUCUUCUUCAACACAACGACGGGGUUCUUCUGCAUUCGCUUUUUGCCAGUUGAGAGGGAGAGAGAGAGGGAGAGGGGUUAUUCGUGAAGCGAAAAUCCGCAUUGCCAUUGUCAAUCAAAUCGUCGAGGUAUGGACUUUGCUCUGUAUAUGAUUGAUUUUGGGUUUUUGUUUCAUCUGUCCCGAUCGUCUUUUAUCUUUGUUUUGAUUCCAAUUUGCCUAUACUUUCAUCAAUUCGCAAAGUCUGGGUUUUUAAACGGAUUAUGCUUAGAUAGCGAUCGUUUUGCUCACAAAAUAAGGUAUUUAGUUGUUUGGUUAGUUGUAUAUGUAGUGUAGGUGGUGUUUUAUAAUUGGGAUCUGAAUUUGUCUCAUGAAAUUAGUUAUAGGAAAUGGGUGUUUCAGACCAUAAGCAUUGUGUUGCUUCACCAUUAUAGUUGAAGAUGUCCAAUCAUUUUCUACAGGUAGAAAGUAAAUCCAUGUCUUUUAACAUCAGUUUUCUGUCCAAUUCAAUCCAUAGUUGAAUUGUUAAGGUCAAAAGCUUUAAGAAAAGCAAGGAAAAAUAAAAAGAGCAAAACAAAGAUAAAGAAUAUUGUUACAAGUUGGCAAUUAGUGAUACAAUCAUCAUUAACAAACAGCUCCUCUUCUCAUCUACCACAUGUAUAUUAUCAUUAUAUAUCAGUUUCAGACAUUCAGCAACCUUUGAACAUACAUAUUGUUUACAUUUUUUUUAUAUAUAAUAACUUUGGAGCCAUACAUGGUUUGGCACAUAGAGUUAGAAAGAAACUACCAACUGCUCAAUUAUCAAGAUUAGAUCAAGAUAGAGAAAAACAAACAGAUGGAGAUGCUUCUAGGUUGUAUAUAUAUACAGCGGGUUUAUAUAUAUAUAUAUAUAAAAGAGGGUUUGCAUGAGUCUUUGUUGUCCAUAAUGCGUCCAUGAUGUCUUUCGACCUAAAAUCUUUGUUGUCAAUCUCAUACAUGGUUACAUAACAAAAAAGAGACAGUGUGAAAUACCUGAUGUGUUACCUAUGCGCAAAGCUAAUUACCAGAUUUUGAUGGGAUUCACUAAGAUAUAUUUAAUUUUUUAUCAAAUAUAUUUUAAAGUUUACUGUAUGUACAAAGCUAAUUUCCAGAUUUUCAAUUGUUACAAGUAUAUAUUUUAACGCUCAGUGUUUUUGUAAAAUAUUUUAACCUAUGUUUAGGUUACCUGUAUCACAUUAUGAGAAUUGGUUCAUUCCUUAUACUUUUAUAACAAUGUGUGAUGACUUUAUCAUUAGUAAUUCACAUGUGUAAUGACUGAAAAUAGUGAAAUAAAAACAGCUGAGAUGCAGCAAUAACAAUGUGUGAAAUGGCUCAGUUCCUUUUGCUUGGUUUAGAUCUUGCAUGCAUUCAUUCUGCGAGGAAAUGGAAGUUCCGAGGAAAGAUAGUAGUGUGAGUUGGUCUUGAUCUCAUUUUGUGGUGAGGGNNNNNNNNNNNNNNNNNNNNAUGCCUCACAAUCAGAGGAUCUUCAGUCUUUUAAGUCUUAGUCUGUUAUUCUUCUAUUCCAGUUAUCAUUUUAAAUCAAUGAACAUACCUCAUCCUGAAUAUUUUUAAUUCCUUAUUAAUCAUCUUUUCUGUAAGCUGAAAUAGUCGCAACUUUGUACGAGUCGAUAAAGGAGUUUGUGAAAGCUGGCAAUGAGGAGAAGAUAAGGUAAUGAUGUAAAUAUAAAUUGCUUGGUAUGAAAUUCUUUUCAUUUGGUAUUCUUAGCAAUCAAAUACGAUAUUUUACUGUUCAUUAUUAGAUCUCAUAUUCAUUUAAUGUGAGUAAUGUAUGGCCUCAUGUGAUGUGCUUAUACGACUUCUCUCUUAUGUUACUUAUGACACGAUGCAUGCAAAUUGCUUUUUGUACUCUUUAGGUACGUAGCAUGCAAAACUCCCAGAUUUCUGGGGUACCCUUUAAGGAGCUAUUAAUCUUUUCAUUUUUUCAGCAAAUGGAUGAACAAAGUUACAACAUGAUGCCAUAAUUUUACAUGAACCUUUUCUUUUAAUAUUUUCAUGGUCAUAAUGUGGGAUGAUUAAGGGCUUUAUUCAGGUUUCAGUCUAAUAUUGUCUUCCUAAAUGUAUGUGAAUGCAUAAAGGCCUUUUAGUUUAAAUUUUUGAUACCCUUGGCAUGUCUUACUGUUUUGUUUCAAACACUUAUAGGUUUCAGCGGUAUAAAUUUUCAGUUCAAAAAGAUUGACGUAAGAUCUGUAUUGCUGAGGCUUUUGAACUUGCUGUGAAUGUUACGUUUUAUUUCCCUUCCUGGAUAGAUUUGUUCGGUUUAUUUUAUUUGCUAAUAUACUUGCAUAAAAUUUUUGUACAUCAUAUCCACUCAUGCUUUGUCUGUCAUUUUUGUAUGAAACAUUUACGCAGUUAAGAUCUUCUGAUGCUAUUCUUCAUUUUGAAAAAUGUAAAAAAUUCUUCAUCGUACUGAGAUACAUGAUAGAGGUUAUGUUUUUUGGCCAGAGUUUAUUUUACCUUGAUUGUGAUCCCUUUUCCUCACAAAAAGGUAUUGCGUUGUUGUAUUCGUGAACAAUCAAGUUAUUUUAUUAUGCAUGCUUCAUUAUUGGUAUGAUUAUAUGUUAUUUAUGUUGAGUUCAUGUUCAGUUUUGCUCAUAUUAGUAAUCAUUAACAAAUUAUAUUCUUGAAUCCUGAUUAAAAGUGAAGUUGAGGAGUUUAUUAAGUCCUUUUUUCUUUUUUUUGCUCUAUUGUAAGGGGUGUUAGAAAGUCUUUAACAGUUCCAUUUCAUGGUACCUUUGGAAGAACAACUUUGUCAAAGUUUGUAUAUUUCAGAUCUCGACUUCGCUUUUCUGGAGAUGAAUCCUUUUGCAUUGGUUGAUGGAAAGCCAUAUCCUUUGGAUAUGAGAGGCGAGCUCGAUGACCCUGCUGUUUUCAAGAACUUCAAAAGUACAUUCAAUUUCUGUUGUUAUUACCCUCCCUGCUAAGUUAUUUGACGAAAGCUAUAUGAUACUAUCUAAUGUUUCUUCUGUUUAAGUGUACCAUUUUGCAACACCACCUUACAUGAUAUAAUUGUUUCAGGCGGGCUAAUAUUGAAUUUUCAAUGCCUUUUGGAAGAGUUACGAGUCCUACAUAAAAAAUUAUUCAUGGGCUAGAUGACAAGUACAAACAAUGAUUUACCCUAUCAGUGAUAGUUUUCAUGCGGGAUUUUAGUUGUAUGCAAUUUUAAUUUCUUUUAUUGUUCAUAAGGAAAUACCCCCAUAUUUAUGGGGAAAUACCUCGCAUUUAUGAUAGCCAUUUAGUAUCCCACUUUAAUCAGGUUGAUUUCUCAAUUGCUUACAGACAUGGGCAUCUUUGAAAUUUACAGUCGUGUACCCUAAGGGAAGAAUCUGGACUAUAGUUGCUGGAGUGUAAGAGUUAUAUAUGCUGACAUGGUGUGCUCAAUUAAGAUUCAAAAAUUUAACUAGAUUUAAACCUUGUUACUUAUGAACCAUUGGUUUUCCUUGGCAUUCAUUGCUCACACUCAAAGUAUAUUCCUUUAUCAGGUUGGAGAUCUUGGCUCUGCUAAUGAGCUUGAAAACUACACUGAAUAUAGUGGAGCACUAAAUGAGAAGGAGGUCUUGCCGUAGGCCAGAGUUGUGAUUGAUGUAAGAACUCUUUCACUCUUGGCAUUAUAUCACUUUAUCCACAGUAGAUGAAAUGCUACUUUCAUAUUUACCACAUCUCUGUUUUCCAUCAAAAACUUUUCACAAGCUUCAUGGCUUCUCUUUAAUACAUUUGGAAUGAAUUUGUUCAUAGUUUUCUGCCCUGAAGCUUAUUGAACAUGAAAAUAGGUUGUGGGUCUGUGGUGGUUUUUGUUAUUUGGGUUGCUGCCUUUUGCAUUUCUGGUAAGGGUUAUUAUUUUUUCGAUGAUUAUAUAUCAAUAUCUAUUCUGUAUUUUUUUUCUUCUCUGCAUCUUUUGUGUGGUUGCUGACUAAUCUACUCUUUCUUACUGUGACUUAUUAAUGGAUGACUAUUUUGUCUACACAUCUUCAGGUUGAUGUUCUUGGAGAAGGUCUUUUAAGCAGGUAUCCUCAAGUUCAAAGGACUUUCAUGCAUGAUGUUUUAUCCUCUCAGUCAUUUUCCUUUAUUGAUUUUAAUCUCUAUUUUAUAGGAAACAAGUGACCUUGGGACAAAAUUAGGUAAUCAAAGAAACUGGGUUUUUGUUUUCGGAUCCUGUUGAUUUACUGUUAAGUAUGUUUUAGAAUGCUUAUACUUGCUUUCAAAUCUUUGAAGAGUAAUGGGUUUCAGCUGGAAAUGGAGGAGAGAAGAAGUACAGACGUUGUCAUCGUUGUUUCCGGGGUUUUCGGUGCAGCUGUUGCCUACACUCUUGCAAAGGUCAGAUAAUGAUUUCAAUAUUUUUUUAAGGAAAAAAUUCAGUUUACUACCCUGAACUUUAGGUCUAAAAUCAGUUUGAUACCUCAUCUUUUUUUUUUAAUCAGUUUGAUACCUAAACUUUCAAAAUGACAUCAAUCUCGACCAAAAUGACUAAAAUAGCCCUGGUUAAUCUUUUUACCCUCUCUCUCUCUCCUGCCUCCAAAUCCACCACAUGGCCNNNNNNNNNNNNNNNNNNNNAAACUGUGAGAUAGUGAUUAUGAGAAACAGAAAAAUAAAAUAAUCGAAGCUGCACAUGUCCAGUGUUGUCCAGUCAUUGGGUAUCUUAUUGUGGCAUUUUAAUAGAGCUGUUUGUGGUAUUAUGUGCAAAAUGAAUCACAUCCGAGUUGUUAUGCUGGUGUAGGAACAUACAUUGCAUAAACAUUGCCUAGGGAACAUUAGAUUUAGAUUGAAACCAUGUUACCUCACACUGAUGGUUUGUGACUGGUGGGCGAUGUGGAUUCGAUAACAAUGAAGUUAUCUGUUUUUGACAAAACCUGUGAUGAUGGUAUUUGUGUAGUAACAUUUUCAUUAAUUAUUGAUUCUUCAAAUUCUCUGAAAACAGUAGUAAAUAUGUCUUUUGUAGUAGAUGUAUGAUUUUGUUUUUAGAAAGCCAUUUUAGCAAAGAUGAGAGUAGUUAUUUGAAGGCUUAUACUACUGUAACUUUUAUCAAGUGUACAGCUUAAACUCUACAAAGAAACUCUCCAAUAUUGUGUUCCUUGCCAACAGUAGUUUGAAAUUUGUGGGAAAUUAAGCUCGGUUGUUGAUGACAUUUAUAAUCUGUAUGGAUUGGUUUCUAUUGUGUGCUGAUAUGGGGGGUUCUGGGUUUUAAUUUGUUUGCAAUGUAGAAACUAUAUUAUUUCUAUUGAAAUGAUGCCUCACAAUCAGAGGAUCUUCAGUCUUUGAAGUCUUAGUCUGUUAUUCUUCUAUUCCAGUUAUCAUUUUAAAUCAAUGAACAUACGUCAUCCUGAAUAUUUUUAAUUCCUUGUGUAAAGCUAAUAUAAAUCAAUAAUUCCAGUUUCAGUAUCACCAAUAAUGGUCUUCCUAAGAUAUUGUUGCAUCAUUUUACCAAGCAAACUUUUAUUGAUUACAGUACGUAUGAAGAUGAUGCGCUGCAGUAGGUAAAGGAGUUUACUCAUCAAGACCAACCACUGGUGCACUGAAGUAGCUAUGGUAGUAAUGGCACAUGUCAUUUAAGGUCUUGCAUGCCAUAUUCUCGGGGAGGCAGUCACAUAGAGACCUCCAUCAAUUGGUAGGGUGAUCAUGGUCUUGUAAUUGACAAUAUUUUUCUCAUCAGCUAGCUUGAAUAUAUAGCUGCCUAAAAGCAUAGCAGAAAAUAUUUUCAUCUGCGUAUAGGCAUGUUCCUUUCCUAGACAAAUUCUUGGACCGGCCUGCAAUCACAUAAUCUCAUCAGAAGUCACAUUAUGUAGUGAGUCAGUGAUUUCAUUAUUAUCUUUUUCUUACACUGAAGGCUAUGAAUUUGAAAGGACUUUCAUCAUGGAAAAGGCCAUUUUCGUCGAGCCAUCUCUCUGGCCGAAACUCUUCUGCAUCAUCACCCCAUAGAGAUUUCAUCCUUCCCAUUGCAUACGGUUGGUAUACCACCAUGUCCCCAUUUUUGACACUAAAUCCAUCUGGCCAGGUAUCAUCAGAAAAACACAUCCUCAUGUUCUACGAAUGGCAGCAUCACACAAAACAAACUUGUUUAGAGGUAGAUUAUGUGAUUCAAGAAAUGCGAGGAAUUGUAACCUUGCAAGUGUCAGUUGAGAAUAUUAGAUUUAUAGACGUACCAUUGGAACUGCAGGAUAGAGUCUUAAUGUUUCUGUCAAAGCCGCAUGGAGAUAUUGCAUUUUGUUUAGGGCUUCAUCAGUAAGGAUUGCUGCAAGCUCAUCAACUCUUAAAUUAUCUUUCAAAUUUGUUACUUCUCUAACUUCUUUUGCAAUCUUCUCCUGUAUGUGAAGAUGCUUGCACAUCAUGUAAACAAACCAUGAAAGAGAGCUAGCUGUCGUGUCUUGGCCGGCAACAGUAACACAAAGGACCAUGUCUCUCAGGUACUUUGGAUCAGUAUCUUUCAUUUCCAAACGCCUUGAAACCAAGUCUCUUUUCUUCAGCUGACAUGGAUCCUCAUUACAUAUUUACAUUAGAAAUGAUAAACACCAAUUCAAUUCACUCUAUAUAUAAGCAAUAACAAACAAAUGAAGUGGAAGGUAACUCACAGAUAGAUUAUCUUCUUGAUUCUGCAUAGUUUCAAUCUUGCUAUUGAUUAAUUUAUACACAAAUUGAUCGACCUCUUUGAUGUUUUUCUUUAGCUCUGCUUCCUUACCGAUGUUCAAGAAGCGUUUUAUUUUCCAGGAGAUAUCAAUAUACCGAUAGAGGGUAGCUUCUUGUCCAGAUUCAAAAGCAUGGGAAAACCGGUUACCUUGUUCAUCUUUUCCACUCAUGCUGUCUAGUUCGAUAUCAAGUAGUAUCUUGAUGAUUGAAUCCAAGGUUGCUUUCAUAAACAAAUCCUUCCCAAAAAGAAAAAACACAAGAUUUUUUUGUAAUUUCAAAAAGUAAACAAUUUAAGACCAAAUAUCUUUUGUAUGCAUGAGUGGCUUUUGUUUAAAGUUGUAAAUGAGUCUGUAUGUCUUAUAUAAUAGCAAUGCAAUAAUGUUGCAAACAUACUUGGAUCUCUAUUGCUUGGUUGCAGAUUGAAGCUUCAUAAAUGAUGCCAGCAAGUUUAACUGCAUUGGUUUUGAAAACUGCACUACUGAAGUCUCUCACUACUUUUGUUGAGAAUUCAGCGCUCAUCACCUUCCUCUGAUGCCUCCACUUUUGCCCGUCCACUCCAAAGAUCCCAUUGCCUAGUCCAUCUGACAAAACGCUGUACAUAUACGACCCCUGCAGCAUGAUGAAAACUUGGAUGGUAGUAUGUACGUAUAAAUUUAACUUGUACACACACAUAUAGGAUACAUGGUCCUUCUAGUGAGCGAUCAUUUUUUUAUUAUCUUUUAUAGGGAUACCGCUACAUCAUUGGAUUUGGUUUUUAAUGACUUUGUAUGAUUGAGAUUAAAUUAAAAAUUUUAACACUUUAUGUCAAGCCUGAACCAUUCAAGAUCAUUAAAAAUAAAUCAAAGUUUUGAACGAUAUAUUUAUAUGCAUACUUAAUUAAGCAUAUAAUAAAUGAUCAUAUACCUUGCCAUAAUUAGUGAAGUUUGUUUUGAGCACAUAUUCCACAUUUGCAGGAUCUGCUGUGUAAACCGCUCCUUUGAACAAGUCGAGCAUCCGGUAAGUUUUGUACUUGCAUGCAAGCUCAGUCAUGUAAUGGUGCAGCCUAGAGAAGUUGAUAAGUUGGUGCACCACCGUUCCGGCAACAGGAUGGCAUAUCUUGUUCUUGCCACGCAAUCUUCUGGCACGGUGUCUAGCCACAACUACAGCUAAAACCAACACUGAACUUAAUACUACUACAGCCGUGGAAGCAAAAUCCAUGACAGUGUUGAAGAAGAACGUAGUAGCUAGCUAGCAAAGGAAGAUGGUUUUUCUGUUUGUGCCGACUUCCCUACCCACCUACCCACGAAAGUUCUUGUAUGCACCAAGGUUCAAGUGAACCAAGUGUUAAAAUUUAAUCUCAGCCGUUUAUUAGAUCUAGCUUUUACAUGACACUAACACCGAUAUUGACGCCGUUAAGAGUAUUAAAAAAUGAAUAAUAGUCAACACAGUAAAACUCAUAAAUGCUAAUAUUUAAUUAAUCAAAUUUACCCUGCUUAGAUAUGCGGACGAAUGAUGGAAAGUCCAUAGGUUCAAGGACUUUUAUUGGGUGCCUGCCUGCCUGGUUCAAACCAGGAACAAUGAUCUAAUUUAUUUUUAAUUUUAUUUCCUUAAUGAACUUCAUUAACACCUUCUUAUUACAAACUACAAUAAUUACAAAAAGUUUAAAUUAAAAUUUCUUAUUUUCUAUUGACAUUUAUAAUUUUAGAAACUUAUUAUACAAAAUUUCCUUCGUGGAUUCAAGCCUCAAUAUAAUUCUAUCACUUUAGACUUCUAUGAUCUAAAGUGAGAAAAAUCUAAACAUUGAAACAUAUAACUAACAUAUAACUGUUGUAAAUAGAAAAAAGUUCUUUAAAAAAUUAACAUAAACCUUGCCUUUUUCUUUAAAAACUUAUUUUACUUACGAGAAACACUUUAGAGCUAACCGGUUAGCUUCAUAAUAUGAAACUAAUAGUCUAUUAUUUCAAGUUUUCGGUCACAUAUCGACAUAUUCACCUUUGAGUUAAUAGUUCAUUAUGAGUAGAUUAAUUCUGAAAUUUUCAACUAAAAUCAUUUGGAUUUUUCAUAAUUUUAUAAUUACGAACUUGAAUGGUUCAUGUCGGACAUAUUUGAUAUUUAAUGCAUAUGGUUAACUACAUGGAUCGAUUUCAAUAAUGACGAAAACCAAUUGUUUUUUAUUUAUUUUUUUAUUUUUUAUUUUUUUUUUUGUCAAUAUCCAUAUUGUGUUUCUCCUUUAUUACAUCCAACAUUCAUAUUGCAUGGCCUAUUUACUCUAAACUCAAUGAAUUUGGAAGAUAUAGUUUUUCGUAUUAUUAAUAAACAAGACAUAGACCACAUAUAAUUUGUUCUAUCCAAUGUAAAAAUUUAUAAACGGACACAUAGCGAUGUAUACAUGUAUUACGUACACUUAGUAAUAGCUACGUACAUUGUUAAAAAAUUAAUCAAAUCUAACUUCAUUUCAACAUAAGCAUUUAUUUUGUUAAAGUUGACCAUGUAAAUAAGGAGAAUAUAUAUGCAAUUAAACAUGUAUCAAUGAUCACAUAUUAAACAUGUAUCAAAUAAACAUGCAAAUCAAGACUUACAUUGUUGUAGAUAUAAAAGAUUUUGUGCACAUCUGUAAUAUUGAAACCGAAAAUUGGUAUAAAUUUGAAUAUGUGACGCAUUAGUAAAAAUUUAUUUAUAAUAAAUUUCUAUUAAUAUCCGGUUAUAUUUGCCUAGAAGAAAUAUAUAGCACAAAUUAGAAGUGACAUAGAGAACUCGUUAUGUGCCAAUGAAUAAAAAAAAUUGCACGCCCGCAUGUGUUACGCGCGCUAAAGGAUACUAUAAUGUUAAACAAUGGAUUUGAUUUUACAAAUUUUCGACAUUAGUCAACUAUGUCAAUUUUGUCACCUAAAUACCUAAAAAGAAAAUAGACUAUUACCUAAAUACCCCGGCCCUUAUUAAUAUGCCAGGAACAUUCACCUUAUCAACAAAGGAUAAACAAGUAAUUUAUUAAAUAGCAUUUUUGAUUAUAUGAUCUAAUCUUGAAGAUAAUAUUAUAUUGAGAUGAUGAUGUCGUGAACCAGUAUUAUCCUAUAAUCUCUCCUAAAAGGAAGUCAUGAUAGAAUACAGAUUCAGUAUUCAUUCCCAGCAAAUCCUAAAAUCAUGGCGAAGAUGGACUCAGCGCGAUUCAAUGGAGAUUCAAUCGACUCAAUGGGAUUCAAAAGAUGGAGGACCGAUCCGGAUCACUGGUCGCCGGCAACAUCAGCGUUUCCGGUAACAGCCACAGCCAUACAUUCGAUCAAAAUCUCUCUCUCUCUCUCUCUCUCUCUCUCUCUCUACUACUACNNNNNNNNNNNNNNNNNNNNCUUCAUCCUCCUCGAUUGUUACCCUUUGAGAAAAGAAAAACAGACCCUUUUCAUUUUCGAUUGGAUCAUACCGAGCUCAUAGUCAGAUAACUUCCUCCUCGAUUGAGUAGUUAGUAGUUACCCUGGUUUAAUUUCAUAAAUUUAAACGGGUUAAUGGGAUUCAAAAGAUGGAGGACUGAUCCAUCUCCAUUCUCCAGUCAUGAUCGCCGCCCUCGUUCUCCGUCAUCUUCUCUCCGGUCACUAGGGUAAUAAUGAUAUAAGUGAUUUUAUUUUUACUGCGUUUUCAGUUUUUUUUUUUUUAAGUCUGCUAACCUAACGGUGGUAUAGUUCUGUUAGUCCAUGUUAGCUGGUUCAAGUGCACCACGGUGCACUGAAUCCGCUCCGGUUUUGUGGCAAAAAUUACUGCCAAGCUCAAUGCUACAGCAGCGGAAAACAACAAAAGGAGCAGUACUUGUCUUUCUCGUUGGAUUUGAAUUGCAGGACUGGAUGUUAUAUGGCCUGCAUGGGUUGGAGAAUCGAGAUGAGCAAGGCUUGGCCGAAGCGCAAGCUGGUCCACCAUUUCAUCAGCCUGUACCAAUUGGGACGCAAUCACUGAGGGCGAGGACAUACCUCUUUACGUUCUCUGCAGCUACUCAAUCUGCUAUGACACCCUGUUUUGUACUAUUUGUUCAUCGGAUUUCAAGUUUUAGUCGACACUAUAAACUAGGUAGGCACUUCAGAAAAGCAAAGGUCUUUUUUUUUUUUUUUGCCGACUACUUGGCAUUGACGAAUAACUGAUAGCUGGAUGAAUUAAGCAUGAAAUUGAUUUUCACCGAUUGGAGCACAUUCUAAAACUCAUGUUUUACUAAUUGUGUGAUUAAGAAAUAUGACUAUUUCAUAUAUAGAAGGGGCUUUGCAUACAAGGUUUGGUACGAUAUAUAGGAGGUUCGUGGGAGUGUGAUGAGGGACAUGGCUAAGAUAAUGUUAAUCAUGUUAUGUAAUACACACAUCCAUAUAUACAUCAGAUACACCGUAGAAUUUUGGUUAUUACUGCUGUAGAAAGUUUGAUUAUAUUUUAAAUUACCAAAAUUAACCCUGUUGGGAGAAAGACCUCCGGAUAGAGAGAACGGGACUUGGGAGAAACUGAGAAAGUUAGAGAAGAAUCCACUAUCAGUGAAAAACAAAGGGUCAUACUGUCACAGGCUUAUUGGGCAAAGGAACCAAACAGUUUAUGUAAAAGGGAAAUGUUGGUUUUUUAUUUUUUUUAUUUUGACGAUGUAAGGGAAAUGUUGGUUGAUCGAGGACAGAAGAAGAAGAAGAGGAGGAGGAGGGACACAAGAUCGAGCACAGAAUCUAAUAGUUGGCCUUUGAUUAUCAAAUUUCAAAUUUUGGUAGUUCUCAACUCUCAAUUUUUCAUUAAUUAGCAAGAGAUCAAUGUUGUUUUUUUUUCUGGGUUUUUUUUUUCCUGAUUUUCUUUGAUGCUAAAAUCAAAUAGGUUUUCUCUGUGUUGCUCUCCUUGCAUGCAGCCAAAACCCUAGUUAAUACAGUAAUAUAUGAACCAUAUAUACAUAGUUUUUUCGGUAAACGACAUAUCAAUAGUAUCCCUUAUGGUAAUCGUUAGAUUACUUUAAGUAAUAGUUGACCUAUUCUUUCAUCGUUAUCAAGCAAUGCUGCAAUGGUUAUCUUGAUCACACAGUUUGAAGAUGACAAGGCAUUUGAACGCUACUAGGAAAAAUAAGAAGAUAACAUAGACAAAACAAGGUGAAUGUAGUUAUAAAACUGGGGGUUAUUUUUUUUUUUUUUUUUUUUUUUGUAACAGGUAAAAAAACAGGGGAUUUAAAGGUCUUCACAGACUUGAAGGGGGAGUGGAGUACUCCAUGGCCAAAUUGUCAUUAUUAGAAUGGAAGACUGAAAAGGUCUGCCUUUGAUUUCUUCCAUGCAUUUGGAUCCCUAUUGGCACCCCGAGUGGAUAGCUACUUUGAUAUGUAAAGUCAGGGAAUAAAAAAAAAAAAGAAAGCUAAAACAGCAUUAUGUUAAGUACUCUUCAUCUUUAAACUUACAUUCAUGCACAUUUUGGAGCCCAUUCUCGGAUGCACUAAGUUUGAAAUGCCUUGUAGUCUCUUCAAGCCAUAGUCCCAAAGACAACAAAACGAGCAUUUUAAUGGGGAUCUUUGUCUGCCCAUCUUCUGCUGUUCUAUUGUUUGACAUAUGUUGUUUCAUGUACUACUUACAAAUCAAAAACUUAGCACUGUUUGUCACACAAUGCAAAAGAUGAGUAUCGUAGUCUUUUCAUUCGGUGUAACUUCACUAAUUAAUUAUACCUUGCCAUAAUUAAUGAAGUUUGUUUUGAGCACAUAUUCCACAUUUGCAGGAUCUGCUUUGUAAACCGCACCUUUGAAAAGGUCGAGAAUCCUGUAAGUGUUGUACUUGCAUGCAAGCUCGGUCAUGUAAUCGUGUAUCCUAGAAAAGUAGAUAAGUUGGUGCACGACAGUUCCGGCCACAGGAUGGUAUCUCUUGUUCUUGUCACGCAAUCUUCGGCUACAGUGUCUAGCCACAACUACAGCUAAAACCAUCACUAAACUCGAUACUACGGCAGUCGAAACCAAAUCCAUGACAGUGCUGAUCGAAGAAGAAUGUAGUAGCAGAGGAAGAUAGCUUUUCUGUUAUUUGUGCCGAUCGACUUCCCUAUCCAACUAUAUAUUCAAGCUAGAUAUUAAUUUGCAUGGGAACUCAGCAGCUAUUGAACAAUAAUGAAGUGAUCAAGCUAGGCUCCACUCCAAUAAUACAUAUACGGGGACUGAUUGGAGACUAGUAAGAUUGACAUGCAUGGCAUUGGCUGGCCAGAUCUCCUUCUCGAUCACAUUCCUUAUCACUAAAGUUUUUCAAGAUCGCUAUGACUAAUCAUUGAAGCUAGCUUAUGAGUUUCUGUCCAGAUCGACUAACAGUUCCCUCUCCUCUUUCAUUUUUUGUCUACAUUUAUCAUGUGCCCGUGCUCAGCUUACCGCUAACUCAACUGGUUGCUCUCAAACAGGACAGGGAAAGAAGUAAAUGAUUGUUGGUCCAACAAUAGGGCCCCGUGCCAGAUAUAGACAUUUAUUUUUUGGAAUUUGAGUACUUUUCUCUAUAUGCCAUCCCAUGCAUGUUACGUACCUAAUUGUUCUUUAGUAUAUGCUAUGAUUGAUAACCGACAGGCCAGGAAUGACUUGGAUAUAUACCAGCUAAACCUUUGACACAAAAGGAGCACAGCCAUGCUAGGUAGAUAUGCAGACAUGUUUCGUGGCAUGGGAAAAUUACUGCCAAGCUCAAGCUGUGUUUUCAAACGGUAUACUAAAAAACUAAAAACUCUACGCCAGACGCUUAGAGAAACUGUUUCAAACUUGUUCUCAUGCGGUCUGUGUUAUGCCAAAUAAUGGUCUUCAUCAGAGUACUUUUCCAAUAAUGCACCAAUUUAUCAAGCAAAUUAACUUUUAUUGAUUACAAUAUGAAAGAUGAUGAAACGGGAACUUGCAUUGAACAAUAUAUACUAGAUCAAGGAUUUUACAUAGCAAGACCAGUGAUGCACUGAAGGAAGUAGCUAUGGCACAUGGGACUUAAGGUCUUGCAUGCAAUAAUCUUGGGGAGGCAUUCACAUAGAGACCUCCAUCAAUUGGUAGGGUGAUCAUUGUCUUGUAAUUGACAAUUUUUUCCUCAUCAGCAAGCUUGAAUAUAUAGCUGCCUAAAACCACAGCAGAAAAAAUCUUCAUCUGUGUAUAGGCAUGUUCCUUUCCUAAACAAAUUCUCGGACCGGCCUGCAUGUAAUAAAAAAAAAAUCUCAUCAAAAGUCACAUUUUUUCAGAGAUAACAGCAAAUGUUGAGUGAUUUUAAUAUCUUUUCUUACACUGAAGGCUAUGAAUUUGUAAGGGCUUGCAUCCUGGAAAAGGCCAUUUUCGUCGAGCCAUCUCUCUGGCCGAAACUCUUCUGCAUCAUCACCCCAAAGAGAUUUCAUCCUUCCCAUUGCAUAAGGUUGGUAUACCACCAUGUCACCCUUUUUUACACUAAAUCCAUCUGGCCAGGUAUCAUCAGAAAAACACAUCCUAUUGUUCUAUAAAUGACAGAAUCACACAGACAAACUUGUUAGGAAGUAGAAUGUGCUAUUCGAAUCUAGAAAGGAAGUCAUUAAUUGUAACCUUGCAAGUUUCAGUUGAGCAUAUUAGAUUUAUUUACCAUUGGAACUACAGGGUAGAGUCUUAAUGUUUCCGUCAAAGCUGCAUGUAGAUAUUGCAUUUUGUUAAGGGCUUCAUCUGUAAGGCUCGCUGCAAGCUCAUCAACUCUUAAAUCAUCUUUCAAAUUUGCUACUUCUCUAACUUCCUUUGCAAUCUUUUCUUGUAUGUGAAGGUGCUUGCACAUCAUAUAAACAAACCAUGAAAGAGUGCAAGCUGUCGUGUCUUGUCCGGCGACUGUAACACAGAGGACUAUGUCUCUCAAGUACUUUGGAUCAGUAUCUUUCAAUUCCAAACGCCUUGAAACCAAGUCUCUUUUCUUCAGCUGCCAUUAAUCCUCGCUCAUUACAUUAGUAAUGUUUACACUCUAGAUAUAAAAGCAAUAACAAGCAGGAUGACAUGGAAGGCUAGGUAACUCACAGAUAGGUUGUUUUCUGGACUUUGCAGAGCUUCAAUCUUGUUAUCGAUCAACUUAUACACAAAUUGAUCAACCACUUUGAUGUUUUUCUUUAGCUGUGCUUCCUUGCCGAUGUUCAAGAAGCGUUUGAUCUUCCAGAAUUUAUCAACAUUCCGAUACAGGGCAGCUUCUUGUUGCGAUUCGAAAGCAUGAGAAAACCCUUUACCUUCUUCAUCUUUUCCGCUCAUGCUGUCUAGUUCGAUACCAAGUAGAAUCUUUAUGAUUGAGUCUAAGGUUGCUUUCAUAAA
This 20139-nucleotide long non-coding RNA is filed under the name Fragaria vesca (wild strawberry). Its description in RNAcentral is "long non-coding RNA (FVES_LNC003946)". Lineage: Eukaryota; Viridiplantae; Streptophyta; Magnoliopsida; Rosales; Rosaceae. The record is from RNAcentral.